UGCCAGCAGCCGCGGUAACACGGGGGGCGCAAGCGUUAUUCGGAACUAUUGGGCGUAAAGGGCGCGCAGGCGGUCUUGUCAGUCAGGUGUGAAAUCCUGGGGCUCAACUCCAGAACUGCCAUUGAUACUGAAAGUCUUGAGUACAGUUGAAGUAGGCGGAAUGUGUAAUGUAGCGGUGAAAUGCUUAGAUAUUACACAGAACACCGAUUGCGAAGGCAGCUUACUAAGCUGUUACUGACGCUGAUGCACGAAAGCGUGGGGAGCGAACAGGAUUAGAUA
RNAcentral lists this ribosomal RNA (279 nucleotides) under uncultured bacterium. RNAcentral describes it as "partial 16S ribosomal RNA". It matches the Rfam family "Bacterial small subunit ribosomal RNA", at positions 506 to 784 of the family's 1533-position model. The record is from RNAcentral.